UCGACCGAGUUACUUUUGUUUUUCUUCUUAUAACAACAACCAUAAUAAUACCGAAAAUAUUAACAAAUACGAAAUUUUUAAGUCCUAAACCAUAAUUAAUUACUUUCUAAUAAAAGGGCCAGUCAUGCAAAUUUCACAAAAACUCCAUUGAAAGAGGCUGAAAUUCCUAUUUUGCCCCUCUAAGCUAGAAUCUAAUCCCAAUCGAUCUCGUACGACGGAUACUUCUGCGGCGGCUCCUCCGGGUCAGCGAACGUGAAGUCCGAAAACGACGAAGAUCCCGAUCCCGCGGUGGGAGGAGAUACAGCGAUCGAAGGCGACUACUCCUCGCGGACUUGACCUUCUCUGAUGACUGAUUUGGCGACGAACCCACCUUCUCAGCCUUACCUAAGGUUUUUUUGGUAACGAAUUUAUGAUCCGAUCGUCGCUUUUACCCUAGGGUUUGGUGGUCUCUCUCAAUUGUACUGUUUUGAUAUCGAAUUUAUGAUCCGAUCAUCAUCGCUCCCGACCCCAGAUUCUGAAUUUUCACGCAUUACUAUGGCUUUAAUUUUCAUAAAUUCUUAAUUCCUAUGUACGCGAUUAAGAUGUGUAUGCCACGGCUCGCCCUUCUGUCUUAUCAUGUUUAACUUGAUGACAAAGUAACACGGACAUGCGACAGAUUGUGGAGGAUGCGUUGCUCGGUGGGUGAUGGUUUUCAUGGAUUGUUGUCUUCUCUGCGCUACAUCUUCAGAUGACGUUCUUGCUGUGUACAUGACAUUCAGAUGAGAGAUCGAUGAUCCACAUAUUAUUCCCUACACGAAUCGUGGAGGCACCUGGGGGACUGAUAUGAUAAAGUUUGUGCCUUAGACCAAGUCUCCCAAAGAUCACGAGGAACCAAGGUUUCUGAGUUCAACUUUCAGAUGAUGUUCUUCUUGCUGUCAUGUCUCAUUAUAUCUUGAAGGAUUCCUUUGAUCUGUCGUUACUCCCUGUGGCCUGUUUGACAGUCUCCCUUUGUUAUAUCCCAGGCAGCAUCAAGAACCUGAAGCCUCUUUGACAGGCUUUGAUGGAAACGCUUCUUCUAUGUGCCUACGUCUUGCGGUGUUUUGGAACCCAAUUAUGAUCUGAUCAUGGCGUAAUCUUCUCCAUGCUGCUAUGUCUUCAGGCACGUUCUCACAGAUUUGUGGAGAAUGCUACGAUUGAUCGGUGAUGGAUUUGACUGAUCGUUGUCACUCUAAUUCAUGUUGAUUUUUCUUCUAGGGAUUGUGGAGGAGGAUGCGUUGAUCGGUUGGUGAUGGUCUUGAACUUUGAUAAUCAUUUUUGUCUUCUCUGCGCUACAUCUUCAGGUAAUCUCUUGGACCUUAUUGUUGUUGUGACCAUUGGCGUUUCUCUCCACAACUAAUCUCAUCUUCAACUCCGACCAAGAAGCAGAUCCGAGAUGGUUUUGAAGAAAAUUGGAAAGUCUCAUAACAUACCUCAACAAGUUCGUGUUCUUCGUAAUCCUCCUGCUUCACCAUCUGUAGAUAUGGUGCAAGCCAGUGUCGUUUUGCAAGUGUGGAUCGGAGGACCUUGCUCUGUCCACAUGACAGCAACUCUCACUCUCACGGGACAACCUGCAAGUGGUAACGUUUUUUUUCUUCUUCUUAUCUGAGUCAUUGCUUGACCUACUUAAGUGUUGUGCAGCAGAUCUUAUGCAUUUGCCAGGAGAGCCCACGAGAGGAUAAUAAGAGUCAGAUGAAUAUAUUUAAAGAGUUAAAAAGAUGUUGGAGGAAAACAGUUGUCUCUUGCGUUCAAUCCGAACGGAUCUGUGCUCGCUGCUGGUGCGGAGGAUGGGACUUUGAAUGGCCUAGCUUGCAUGAAAAGGUUGCUUAAUGGUGGUCCACUUUGUCGGGUUUUGGAGGUGAGUGCUUCUACUGCUGUUCCCACAGUCUAUCAAAAGAGAAGGUCGAGAUGUUUGCCUCCUGUAGAUUUUAUGGAGACAAUGCAGGUUCUGAGCCAGCCAAGCAAUGUCCCCUAUCUUGAAGGAGAUUCUGCCACGAUCCAAGAUUUGUUUGUUGUGUUCUCUUGUGCUUCUUUGUGUAAUUUUUACAUUUACUCCCUUAUUUUUAUCUGCCACCAUCUACCUUAACAGGAGAAUUAGAAUUCUUGGAGCUUCGAACUCAAAGCCACGGUUCAAGAGCCAGCCAAGCAAUGGCCCCUAUCUUGAAGGAGAUUUCGUCCACUAUCCAAGUUUACUAGGAAAACAGCUGGAGGCCUCUGAAGAACGAUUGCGAGAAUAUCCUGUGAUGUGUACAUCCUUUGGCGGAUGUUUACAUCAUCAUUGGUUUGAAUUACAAUUUUAAGGUUUAAUUAUUUUGUGAAUUAGAUAAAGGAGAUCAUCAUCAUUCAAGCAAGGUAGAGACCAUGUACAACUAAUUUCCAUGAAUGACACCAUUCCAUGAGCGAACGUCCAAGAAGAAGAAGAAGAACACCUCCACUCCAGUGUCACCACAUUAUUGCGCGCGAUCACCAGAUCCUAUGGCUGACAUCAUUGUUCGUGGUUCUGCUGUUUGGAAUUCUAGUUUUGCCUUGAAGUUCUUAGACCAAGUCUUCCCAAAGCUUGCUUAUGGACCGACGUGGUUAUUGGGGAAGACUCAGUACAUUAAUCAUUACAACAUGAUGACAAAGUAAUUCGCUUCAUAUGUUUUUGUCUUGUUCGAUCAUCUUUUCUCAAGUGCCUCUUGUCAUACCUGUUUGCGGAACAGCUUGUGUUGGCAAGUCCACUUAUAGCUACACAACUUGCCAAAUGUCUCACAGGUAUCAGUCUGAUUUUGGCAACCAAUUAUUUGUUUUGAGAUUGCUUAUGGAGCCAACAUGGUUAUUGGAAAAUACUGAAUGGAGGAUAAACCUCAUACAGCAGUAACAGACAUGGUUUAUGAGCUACUUCGAACAACAACUGAGUACGUUUUUCUCUUUUCUAAUGUUGUUACAUACUAUAAAGAAGAUACCCAAACAUGUGUCGAGUUCCCUUUGGAGUUGGACUUGCUCCCCUUAGAUGAGCAUUGAGCAGUAACCAAGAUUCCCAAGUUUCUACAAAAUACCAUCUUUAUGCCAUUGUGGAGCAUCUUUUGGUUAUUACUCUGCUUAAGUUUGAUGACGCCAUGAUGAUUGCUGGGCUGAAAUUGCUCGUGACAACAUGGGAAGUCUGGUGCGAAAGAAGUCAACUUUCCCUUCUGGUAUUAUAGCGCUUGCGGUUUAUAUUCACAGCAAGGGCAGUUUAGGCUCGGGAUUUACUCAGAUGCCAGGUAUUUUACUUGCAUGUAUACACUUGCAGCAAAACCAUGCCAGGUUCUUUAGGCCAUGAGGAGCAUGAUGCCAAUACGUUUGCAGACAGUGAGUAACAAUACUUGGGAUCAAAUUUCAGGGAAUUGAUUACUUGAAGUAUGAAAACUGCAACAAUGAUGGGUCUAAGCCGACUGUCAGGUGUUUUGGAAGCGGAUUUAUGAUCCGAUCAUAGCUGCCUCCUUGAUACAGAGGAAUUCAGAUAAGUACUUACACUAUUAUUCUCUUAUACCUAAAACUUCAGAGCAGUCUUAAACAUGUAAAGAAGGGUCACAUAAAUGUUUUUUUCUUUUUUUUUUUUAUAAUCAUCUUUAUGUACAAUAAAGUUAAAUAUUUUUGGAGCAUU
This is a non-coding RNA of Camelina sativa (false flax), 3640 nucleotides long. NCBI's taxonomy places the organism in Eukaryota, Viridiplantae, Streptophyta, Magnoliopsida, Brassicales, Brassicaceae. The record is from RefSeq and is a predicted model, not a curated record.